AGAGUUUGAUCCUGGCUCAGGAUGAACGCUGGCGGCGUGCCUACUACAUGCAAGUCGAACGAGGUGCUUUUGUAGCAAUACGAGAGUAUCCUAGUGGCGAACGGGUGAGUAACGCGUUGGUGACCUACCCCAAAGUGUGGGAUAACAGUCCGAAAGGAUUGCUAAUACCGCAUGUGGUCAUUGGAUUUAGAAACUGAUGACUAAAGGAGCAAUUCGCUUUGGGAGGGACCUGCGUCCCAUCAGCUAGUUGGUGAGGUAACGGCUCACCAAGGCGACGACGGGUAGGGGACCUGAGAGGGUGGCCCCCCACAAUGGAACUGAAACACGGUCCAUACACCUACGGGUGGCAGCAGUAGGGAAUAUUGCACAAUGGGCGAAAGCCUGAUGCAGCAACGCCGCGUGUGUGAUGAAGGCCUUCGGGUCGUAAAGCACUUUUCUGGGAGAUGAGAAAGGACAGUAUCUCAGGAAUAAGUCUCGGCUAACUACGUGCCAGCCGCCGCGGUAAUUC
RNAcentral lists this ribosomal RNA (508 nucleotides) under uncultured bacterium. RNAcentral describes it as "bacterial SSU rRNA". It matches the Rfam family "Bacterial small subunit ribosomal RNA", at positions 8 to 526 of the family's 1533-position model. The record is from RNAcentral.